AUCCAGCGACGCCGCGUGGGUGAAGAAGGCCUUCGGGUUGUAAAGCCCUUUAAGCCGGGACGAAAAAGCUACACCUAACACGUGUGGCCUUGACGGUACCGGAAGAAUAAGCACCGGCUAACUCUGUGCC
RNAcentral lists this ribosomal RNA (130 nucleotides) under uncultured bacterium. RNAcentral describes it as "partial 16S ribosomal RNA". It matches the Rfam family "Bacterial small subunit ribosomal RNA", at positions 386 to 509 of the family's 1533-position model. The record is from RNAcentral.